CCUGCUCACUAAGCCACUGCCUGGCACUAUGCUUCUUCCGCUGCUCACCAAGUUGCAGGUGGUUUCCCCCUCCAACUUGAGGGGGGGGUGUCGAGAUGAAGGAGAUUACAUGAUUAUAUACAGUGUAUAUUUAUUGUAUCAUCUGGUAUACAAUGGUAUGGGCUAUGAUGAUUGUGUGUUGUUGGGCCAAUUGUAUGUACCGAGCCCAAUUCAUGUCUGAGCCCCAUUUCACUUUCAUUCUUUGGGUCAUCCGACCCGACCCACGUGUACAUGUAUAUAUAGG
Molecule: long non-coding RNA, 283 nt
Filed under: Nicotiana benthamiana
Lineage: Eukaryota; Viridiplantae; Streptophyta; Magnoliopsida; Solanales; Solanaceae
Description: long non-coding RNA (NBEN_LNC014923)
Source: RNAcentral